This 2079-nucleotide unclassified non-coding RNA is filed under the name Dimorphilus gyrociliatus. Its description in RNAcentral is "glycosyltransferase family 92 protein". Lineage: Eukaryota; Metazoa; Annelida; Polychaeta; Dinophilidae. The record is from RNAcentral.
AAAAUGAAAUUAACUGAUGAAUAGUUAAAUAUAUGCAAUAUUCUAUCAGCCAAAGAAAGGUUGUUGAGGGGAACUGCUUAUCGAUAGAUGGCGGUUCUCCCUUGGUCGUCUAAAAAUAAUGUCAACGUCCUUAACAGCCAUAAUCUAAAAUUAUUAGUAAUUGCUUCUAUCGUUUUAAGCACGCGAACAAAAUGGAAUAUAUGGGGUUAGUAGAGUAACGUAACAUAAAUGGAGCAACUAUUGCUUUUGGUAGAAAGAGGAAAACAGUAUUAAACGAUCAAAUACAGCUUGCCGGCGGGAUUUAAUGAAAUAGCUAUCCGUAAGUCGUUCCGACAUUACUCCCCCCGCCCUUAACGCUUUCUUCUCACGAUUUUCGUUUGGAGAUGAGCGGUGCUAUCCGUCUAAAUUUCUUAAGCGACACGACGACCUUUUGUUUCUCUUGCAAUCCUAUUAAGGGAGGAAAGUGAGUAGUUUAAUUCAAAUUGUAAUCUAGUUUAUAUGUAGGAGUGUUUUAUCUUUUAUUCAUUUGGGUAAAUCUUCAUUUUGUGUUGUCCAUAAGCAGAACUAACAAGAGUACAAAGCGACAGGGUGAAAAGCACAGAGAAAAGGCUCGCAUAAUUUAUGAAUAACGAUAGCUAAAGGGCCACCAGUUUUGCUGUCAGCACAACAGCUUUAGAUAACGUUCUCUCCAUCAUGAUAAAGAAAAUCAGAAGAAUUCUUGGCUUAGUGCUGGCAAACUUGAUUUUUUUAUUACUCUUAUUCUCUACAUCUAAUAAGCAACCUCUGACGGAAAAGAAAAUUCCUCAUUGGACAAUAAACUCUAUGCAUUCUUGCAAUAGAACAAUUACCCGUCUUCCAAAAGAUAUACAAGAUAGCGGUAAAGAGUGGACUGGGCGAAAUACUUCUUAUUUUUAUUCAGCAUACAAUGACUAUAGAACUAAUUCUGUAGUUAUCAUUUCUAUUGUUCUCACUGGAUCGUUCGACUAUUAUUGUACUCUCUGGUUUGAGCAGGAACAUAGAAUACGGGUAUCGAAAGCCAUAGUUGUCAUUAUUCCGGAUACUCACCAAAAAAGAUAUCUUGGAUCUUUCCUUAGAUGUUAUAAUCCUUCCAAAUCCAAGCCUUCAGCUGUAUCGAUAUCAUCUGCGCCAUGUAGUCGUCCACUGGUCACUUUACAGAUUGUUUAUCCUGAUAAAUUAGGGAAUAAGGAAAAGCACUGGUGCUUAUCUCCCAUACACGGUAAUCCGCUAACUGGCUAUUUAGAAGCAGUCACCCUUCAUAAAUUAAUCGGCAUAGACCGAGCAACUAUUUAUACGUCGAAUAAAACUGCAGAGAAACAUUUAAAGAAUCUAGACUGGAUUGACGUGAUACACUGGCAAAUUCCAGUUCAUGUAAACGACAUUCAUUAUUAUGGCCAAUGUGCCGCAAUCAACGACUGUUUGUAUAGGAAUAUGUUCUCCAAUCGUUAUAUGAUAUUUACUGAUUUAGAUGAAAUUUUCCUACCUCGACGAAAUAGUCCGGGGCAAAUUUUAUUUGAUAAACUUUUGUGGCAGGAUUUAGAUACCAUGCAACUAGAAAGAAAUAAUACAAUAUCGUCCUUCUACGGCAGCAGCUAUUUGUUUGGAACGCCUGAAAAUUUAACAAGUCUAGCCUCUGUAAACGUUGUUAAAAGAUAUCAGAAACCUAAUAUCUAUAGGAGAAAAUACAUUAUUAUACCAAACAGGAUUGACUAUUUGUCUGUGCACAAGACUUAUUCGUAUCCUAGCUACGAUGAGAUUUUUAUACCAAAGAGUAUAGCCAUGCUUCACCAUUAUAGGCGAUGCCCAGAACCAGAGACAAAUUGUUUAGGAGUACGUAAAAUGUAUAAUCCCAUUAUGAUUGAUGAAUUUGCCUUGAGUCUGCUAGAACCUAUUAUUUCAUUAUCUACUAAUUUAUCUAUUACUAUGCAAUUGCACUCUGAAUUUUCCUAAGUAAAUAUCGUUUACCAAUUCUACAUACAUUUUAUUUUCUCUUCUCUUAAAUUUUUGCAUUUUUUAUGUGAAUUAGUGUUAAAUUGUUAUCAGAAAAAUCUAAUAAAGAAA